This 230-nucleotide ribosomal RNA is filed under the name uncultured bacterium. Its description in RNAcentral is "partial 16S ribosomal RNA". It matches the Rfam family "Bacterial small subunit ribosomal RNA", at positions 562 to 791 of the family's 1533-position model. The record is from RNAcentral.
AAAGCGUGCGCAGGCGGUUGUGCAAGACAGAUGUGAAAUCCCCGGGCUCAACCUGGGAAUUGCAUUUGUGACUGCACGGCUAGAGUGUGUCAGAGGGGGGUAGAAUUCCACGUGUAGCAGUGAAAUGCGUAGAUAUGUGGAGGAAUACCGAUGGCGAAGGCAGCCCCCUGGGAUAACACUGACGCUCAUGCACGAAAGCGUGGGGAGCAAACAGGAUUAGAUACCCCGGU